GAUGAACGCUGGCGGCGUGCCUAAUACAUGCAAGUCGAGCGAACAGACGAGGAGCUUGCUCCUUUGACGUUAGCGGCGGACGGGUGAGUAACACGUGGGUAACCUACCUAUAAGACUGGGAUAACUUCGGGAAACCGGAGCUAAUACCGGAUAAUAUUUCGAACCGCAUGGUUCGAUAGUGAAAGAUGGCUCUGCUAUCACUUAUAGAUGGACCUGCGCCGUAUUAGCUAGUUGGUAAGGUAACGGCUUACCAAGGCAACGAUACGUAGCCGACCUGAGAGGGUGAUCGGCCACACUGGAACUGAGACACGGUCCAGACUCCUACGGGAGGCAGCAGUAGGGAAUCUUCCGCAAUGGGCGAAAGCCUGACGGAGCAACGCCGCGUGAGUGAUGAAGGUCUUCGGAUCGUAAAACUCUGUUAUUAGGGAAGAACAAACGUGUAAGUAACUGUGCACGUCUUGACGGUACCUAAUCAGAAAGCCACGGCCAACUACGUG
Molecule: ribosomal RNA, 497 nt
Filed under: uncultured bacterium
Lineage: Bacteria
Description: partial 16S ribosomal RNA
Rfam family: Bacterial small subunit ribosomal RNA
Source: RNAcentral